Molecule: ribosomal RNA, 496 nt
Filed under: uncultured bacterium
Lineage: Bacteria
Description: partial 16S ribosomal RNA
Rfam family: Bacterial small subunit ribosomal RNA
Source: RNAcentral
AUGCACGCUGGCGGCGUGCCUAAUCCCUGCAAGUCGCGCGCACAGACGAGGAGCUUGCUCCUCUGACGUUAGCGGCGGACGGGUGGGUAACACGUGGAUAACCUACCUAUAAGACUGGGAUAACUUCGGGAAACCGGAGCUAAUACCGGAUAAUAUAUUGAACCGCAUGGUUCAAUAGUGAAAGACGGUUUUGCUGUCACUUAUAGAUGGAUCCGCGCCGCAUUAGCUAGUUGGUAAGGUAACGGCUUACCAAGGCGACGAUGCGUAGCCGACCUGAGAGGGUGAUCGGCCACACUGGAACUGAGACACGGUCCAGACUCCUACGGGAGGCAGCAGUAGGGAAUCUUCCGCAAUGGGCGAAAGCCUGACGGAGCAACGCCGCGUGAGUGAUGAAGGUCUUCGGAUCGUAAAACUCUGUUAUUAGGGAAGAACAAAUGUGUAAGUAACUAUGCACGUCUUGACGGUACCUAAUCAGAAAGCCACGGCUAACUACGUG